CAGUAGUCACGAGUUUGAUCAUGGCUCAGAACGAACGCUGGCGGCAUGCCUAACACAUGCAAGUCGAACGAGACCUUCGGGUCUAGUGGCGCACGGGUGCGUAACGCGUGGGAACCUGCCUUUAGGUUCGGAAUAACUCAGAGAAAUUUGAGCUAAUACCGGAUAAUGUCUUCGGACCAAAGAUUUAUCGCCUUUAGAUGGGCCCGCGUUGGAUUAGCUAGUUGGUGGGGUAAAGGCCUACCAAGGCGACGAUCCAUAGCUGGUCUGAGAGGAUGAUCAGCCACACUGGGACUGAGACACGGCCCAGACUCCUACGGGAGGCAGCAGUGGGGAAUAUUGGACAAUGGGCGAAAGCCUGAUCCAGCAAUGCCGCGUGAGUGAUGAAGGCCUUAGGGUUGUAAAGCUCUUUUACCCGAGAUGAUAAUGACAGUAUCGGGAGAAUAAGCUCCGGCUAACUCCGUG
RNAcentral lists this ribosomal RNA (462 nucleotides) under uncultured bacterium. RNAcentral describes it as "bacterial SSU rRNA". It matches the Rfam family "Bacterial small subunit ribosomal RNA", at positions 1 to 507 of the family's 1533-position model. The record is from RNAcentral.